RNAcentral lists this unclassified non-coding RNA (326 nucleotides) under Hevea brasiliensis (rubber tree). The record is from RNAcentral. Lineage: Eukaryota; Viridiplantae; Streptophyta; Magnoliopsida; Malpighiales; Euphorbiaceae.
GGGUGGCAAUGGUGGCACCUCCUCCAGAUUCUCAGGGAGUAUGCCAAAGCUAGGAAAGACGGAAUCAAAUGGAUUCCUUGACAACAUAGCAUCAUUAAGUUCUGGACCUGCUGGUUGCAUUUGAAGUUCUUGGCCUGAAGGAGCAUCUUGUUUGGAAGAAGCACCAAGGCAUCUUUUUUUAUCUAUUUCACUCACAGUCUGUAUCUCUUCAAACUGCAGAUUUGAUGACUUAGGACUAGUCUUAUCUGCUUGCAGACAUCCCUCAUCGAGUUGAUCAGAUUGCAAUUCCACUGUCGACUCUGAAGGAACUCCAGGCUCUGCAAGGU